Molecule: ribosomal RNA, 501 nt
Filed under: uncultured bacterium
Lineage: Bacteria
Description: partial 16S ribosomal RNA
Rfam family: Bacterial small subunit ribosomal RNA
Source: RNAcentral
AUUGAACGCUGGCGGCAGGCUUAACACAUGCAAGUCGAGCGGGGGAAGGUAGCUAGCCACCGGACAUAGCGGCGGACGGGUGAGUAAUGCUUAGGAAUCUGCCUACUAGUGGGGGACAACAUCUCGAAAGGGAUGCUAAUAAAGCAUACGUACUACGGGAGAAAGCAGGGGAUCUUUGGACCAUGCGCUCAUAGAUGAGACUAAGUCGGAUUAGCUAGUUGGUGGGGUAAAGGCCUACUAAGGCGAAGAACUGUAGCGGGCCUGAGAGGAGGAUCCGCCACACUGGGACGGAGACACGGCCCAGACUCCUACGGGGGGCAGCAGUGGGGAAUAUUGGACAAUGGGGGGAACCCUGAUCCAGCCAUGCCGCGUGUGUGAAGAAGGCCUUAUGGUUGUAAAGCACUUUAAGCGAGGAGGAGGCUACUCUAGUUAAUACCUAGGGAUAGUGGACGUUACUCGCAGAAUAAGCACCGGCUAACUCUGUGCCAGCCGCCGCAGUAA